GAAUUUUUGAACUGGUUCUGAGCUGUCGAGAAUGCAGCGGGCGGCUUUUUCGUUCGAUUACGUUUUCGUUGUGCAAUUCACAGAUGCUUUUUCAUCGCUUGGAAACAUAAAACAAAAAUGUGUACUAAAAUGUUAACAUCUGAAAUUUCUGAAAUCUAACCAAUAACAGCAAGAUUACCUAUGCACACUCAGACUUUGAAAAAAUCAAGUUACAUUUUUCGUCGGUCGAUUUUAGAACUGGUCCGGAGCUAUCGAAAAAGGUAUGCAGCGGGGGCGUCGGGGGUACUUAAGUACCGAACCAGUUCGGCACUAGUGCGUUUCUGCACAAGAUUACUCAUCACUUCUUUUGCAGCGUUUUGGAUAUUGGUCAUCUGCUGCUGCCUUCCAACUAUUUUAUUUGUGAGCAUGUGCUUAGCUCGCAUGAGUCACCCUACGGGGGAAGACCUCAUAUUAAGCAAGUGUGAUGCAUUACUUAUCG
This is a long non-coding RNA of Rhagoletis pomonella (apple maggot), 478 nucleotides long. RefSeq lists it as uncharacterized. The record is from RefSeq and is a predicted model, not a curated record. The transcript has 3 exons. Lineage: Eukaryota; Metazoa; Arthropoda; Insecta; Diptera; Tephritidae.